RNAcentral lists this unclassified non-coding RNA (471 nucleotides) under Hevea brasiliensis (rubber tree). The record is from RNAcentral. Lineage: Eukaryota; Viridiplantae; Streptophyta; Magnoliopsida; Malpighiales; Euphorbiaceae.
UGAAGAUGAGAGAUUCUAAUGUUUGAAGCUUUCUCUCACAUCUCCAUAUCAUUGGGAGAGAUUGUUUUUGUGUUGUUGGUGGUUUGGUUUUGUACAUGCAGGACCAGUAUAUAAAUCACAUUAUGAAUGAAACAGGAGCAACUGUUGUACUAAAAGGGCAUGGCUCUGGAAAUUUUGAAAGCCCAAGUGGUGGAGAAAGGCAGCAACCAAUUCAUCUAUUCCUGUCCGCCAAUAAUUCAAAAAGUCUUGAAGAUGCAAAACGUUUGGCUGAAAACCUUCUGGAUACUAUUAGUUUAGAAUGUGGUGCCUCCAGGGUUUCAUCAUACAAUGUUUAUGGUGCUGUUCCACCACCUCAGCAGAUAUUGGUGGGGGUUCAGAGUUCUGGAAAUGAGCAUAAAGUAAAUACAAGCCCAACUGCUGGUUUGACAUCGUCAGCAAUGAGCUCCCCACCACGUAUUCUAGCUUCUUCAG